UACAGAGGUCCCGAGCGUUGUUCGGAUUCACUGGGCGUAAAGGGCGCGUAGGCGGCACGGCAAGUCGGGAGUGAAAGCCCGGGGCUCAACCCCGGAGGGUCUUCCGAAACUGCCGAGCUAGAGUGCGGAAGAGGCAACCGGAAUUCCCAGUGUAGCGGUGAAAUGCGUAGAUAUUGGGAAGAACACCAGUGGCGAAGGCGGCUAUCUGGACGGUUUCUGACACUAAGACUCGAAAGCGUGGGGAGCAAACAGG
RNAcentral lists this ribosomal RNA (253 nucleotides) under uncultured bacterium. RNAcentral's name for it is "partial 16S ribosomal RNA". It matches the Rfam family "Bacterial small subunit ribosomal RNA", at positions 524 to 776 of the family's 1533-position model. The record is from RNAcentral.